UGAAUACGAGAUGCUACGGCGUCGAAGCAGUCUAUGUCAUACUUCCAAGAAAAGCUCGCACUGUCAUAAACAAAUAAUGCCUGUACCAUAACCGACACAGGUGGGUAGGUAGAGUAUACUAAGGGGCGCGAGAUAACUCUCUCUAAGGAACUCGGCAAAAUGACUCCGUAACUUCGGGAGAAGGAGUGCCUUAUUUAUAAGGUUGCAAUAACAAGAUCCAAGCAACUGUUUAUCAAAAACACAGGUCUCCGCUAAGUCGUAAGACGAUGUAUGGGGGCUGACGCCUGCCCAGUGCCAGAAGGUUAAAGAAGUUGGUUAGCAUUCGCGAAGCUGAUAACUGAAGCCCUGGUGAACGGCGGCCGUAACGAUAACGGUCCUAAGGUAGCGAAAUUCCUUGUCGGGUAAGUUCCGACCCGCACGAAAGGCGUAAUGAUUUGGAUACUGUCUCGGAGAGGGGCUCGGUGAAAUAGACUUGUCUGUGAAGAUGCGGACUACCUGCACCAGGACAAAAGACCCUAUGAAGCUUUACUGUAACUUGAGAUUGAAAUUGGACUUUACUUGCGCAGUAUAGGUGGGAGGCGUUGAUAAUAUUCUUGCGGGAUUAUUUGAGCCAUCAGUGAGAUACCACUCUUGUAAUGUUAGAUUUCUAACUUUGUAUCAUUAUCUGGUCAAAGGACAGUUUCAGGCGGGCAGUUUGACUGGGGCGGUCGCCUCCUAAACGGUAACGGAGGCGCACAAAGGUUUCCUCUGAACGGGUAGAAAUCGUAUCUAGAGUGUAAAGGCAUAAGGAAGCUUGACUGUGAGACCUACAAGUCGAGCAGGGACGAAAGUCGGUCUUAGUGAUCUGACGGUGCUGAGUGGAAAGGCCGUCACUCAACGGAUAAAAGUUACUCUAGGAUAACAGGCUGAUCACCCCCAAGAGUUCACAUCGACGGGGAGGUUUGGCACCUCGAUGUCGGCUCAUCGCAUCCUGGGGCGGUAGUACGUCCCAAGGGUUGGGCUGUUCGCCCAUGAAAGCGGUACGCGAGCUGGGUUCAGAACGUCGUGAGACAGUUCGGUCCAUAUCCGGUGUAGGCGUUAGAAUAUUGAGAGGAGCCUUCUUUAGUACGAGAGGACCGAGAAGGACAUACCUCUGGUGUACCAGUUAUCGUGCCAACGGUAAACGCUGGGUAGCUAUGUAUGGAGUGGAUAACCGCUGAAAGCAUCUAAGUGGGAAGCCCACCUCAAGAUAAG
This 1233-nucleotide ribosomal RNA is filed under the name metagenome. RNAcentral describes it as "bacterial LSU rRNA". It matches the Rfam family "Bacterial large subunit ribosomal RNA", at positions 1564 to 2808 of the family's 2925-position model. The record is from RNAcentral.